RNAcentral lists this small nuclear RNA (305 nucleotides) under Erinaceus europaeus (western European hedgehog). RNAcentral describes it as "7SK RNA". It matches the Rfam family "7SK RNA". Rfam says of the family: 7SK was discovered as an abundant small nuclear RNA in the mid-70s but a possible function has only recently been suggested. Two independent studies have found that 7SK RNA binds the CDK9/cyclin T complex (known as elongation factor P-TEFb). Lineage: Eukaryota; Metazoa; Chordata; Mammalia; Eulipotyphla; Erinaceidae. The record is from Rfam by way of RNAcentral.
GGAUGUGAGGGCAAUCUGGCUGCGACAUCUGUCACCCCAUUGAUCGCCAGGGUUGAUUCGGCUGAUCUGGCUGGCUAGGCGUGUGCCCCCUUCCUCCCUCACUGCUCCACGUGCAUCCCUCCCGAAGCUGUGCACUUUGUUGAAGAGGACGGCCUUCCCCGAAUAGAGAUGGACCAAUCUUUGGUCGAGGGUAUACAAGUAGCUGCAUUCCCCUGCUAGAACCUCCAAACAAGCUCUCAAGGUCCAAGUCGAUCCACUUGGAAUUUAAUUUUGUGUUUGGUGAAAUAUAGUGGCUCAGUUUCAUU